UGGGGGAUAUUGCACAAUGAGCGAAAGCCUGAUGCAGCGACGCCGCGUGGGGGAUGAAGGCCUUCGGGUUGUAAACUUCUUUUGCUCUGAACAAGGCAUGCUAAUGGGUGUGUUGAGUGUAGGGGUUAAUUAGCGCCGGCUAACUACGUGCCAGCAGCCGCGGUAAUACGUAGGGCGCGAGCGUUGUCCGGAAUUAUUGGGCGUAAAGGGCUUGUAGGUGGCUGGUUGCGUCUGUCGUGAAAGCUCAUGGCUUAACUGUGGGUUUGCGGUGGGUACGGGCUGGCUUGAGUGCAGUAGGGGAGGCUGGAAUUCCUGGUGUAGCGGUGGAAUGCGCAGAUAUCAGGAGGAAUACCGGUGGCGAAGGCGGGUCUCUGGGCUGUUACUGACACUGAGGAGCGAAAGCAUGGGGAGCGAACAGG
RNAcentral lists this ribosomal RNA (419 nucleotides) under bacterium. Its description in RNAcentral is "partial 16S ribosomal RNA". It matches the Rfam family "Bacterial small subunit ribosomal RNA", at positions 355 to 776 of the family's 1533-position model. The record is from RNAcentral.